This is a non-coding RNA of Podarcis lilfordi (Lilford's wall lizard), 105 nucleotides long. The record is from the annotation of a GenBank genome assembly. Lineage: Eukaryota; Metazoa; Chordata; Lepidosauria; Squamata; Lacertidae.
UAAAGUGUGAUGGUGGUAUUGGGGUGACUAAAAGAUCAAAUUGGGUGUUACAUCAUAAUUUCACCAAUUUGAUCUUUUAGUCACCCCAAUACCCAUCACACUUUA